CACAAUAGCAGCUUCAUUUAUGAUUUGAAUUUAAUCAAACUUGCACAGAUUUGUGUUACCAUAAGAUCUUGGUUCCUUUCUUGAGCUGGCCAGAUUCCGUCAUGGGCUCCAGAGUUAUAGCCCUUAAAAAGUCCAAAAUUUGCUAUUUUGGCUUUUGCAGCCUUAUAGAGACUUCAUUUAUGGUUUGAUUUGAUUCAAACUUCCAAAAUAUCUUCAACAGCAAUAAAUCUUGGAUUUUGUGACGAAUCAUGUGAAUCAUCCAAUCGUAGGUUCCAGAGUUAUUUUUUAUCUUAUUACCUCCCCUGAUUGUAAUCAAAAUGGAUUUAUAUCAGUAAGUACUUAUAGGACUUACUUGAAAUUUCAUUAUUGUCAUUAGUUGGACUGAGACAAUCAAGGUAGAUAACUAUGGACUGAUUUUAUGUCAAAUUACCUGACUUUAUUUCAAAUUAGAAUGAGUAUAUCUCCAUAACUAAUGAAGAUACUGAUCUGAAAUUUCAUUUAUGUCAACAGAUGGACUUGGACAAUCAGUGAAGAUACAUAUUGACUGAAUUUAUGACAAUUUACCUCCCUUUAUUUUUUUAUAUAAGUAAUUACACCUUAGCAGCUUCUAAUGAGAUUGGUUUGAAACGUUAUUCGUUAUACGUCUUCCACGGUAAGAAAUAGUCAUAUUAAAUAACCCUUGACUGAACAUUUAUCGAUAUGAAUUCUUUACUAAUAUAUUGUUGUAUAGGUUUGUACUUUGUAUCUAUUAAAUGCAUAUACCAAUGCAUGAUUACCUCCCCUGAUUUUAAUAAAAAUGGAUUUAUCUCGGUAAAUAUUUAUAGAACGCAUUUGAAAUUUCAUUAUUGUCUUUAGUUGGACUGAGGCAAUCAGGGUAGAUAGCUAUGGACUGAUUUUAUGUCAAAUUCCCUCCCUUUGUUAAUCCCCCGCUGUGGCGGAGGGAUUAUAGGAAUGGUCUGCGUCCGUCCUUCCGUCCGUCCGUCCUUCUGUCCGUCCUUCCGUCUGUCCUUCCGUCCGUAACAAAAUCGUGUCCGGUCCAUAUCUCCUAAAUCCCUUGAAGGAUUUUCAUGAAACUUAGGUCAAAUGAUCACCUCAUCAAGACGAUGUGCAGAACCCAUGAGUCAGCCUUGUCGGUUCAAGAUCAAGGUCACAACUCAAGGUCAAAGGUUUGAGCCUGCCAUUUUGUGUCCGCUCUAUAUCUCAUAAACCCCUUGAAGAAAUUUUAUAAAACUUGGGUCAAAUGAUCACCUCAUCAAGACGAUGUGCAGAACCCAUGAGUCAGCCAAGCCGGCUCAAGGUCAAGGUCACAACUUAGGGUCAAAGGUUUGAGCCUUCCAUUUUGUGUCCGCUCUGUAUCUUCUAAACUCCUUGAAGGAUUUUCAUGAAACUUGGGUCAAAUGAUCACCUCAUCAAGACAAUGUGCAGAACCCAUGGGUCAGCCUUGUCGGGUCAAGGUCACAACUCAAGGUCAAAGGUUUGAGCCUUCCAUUUUGUGUCCGCUCUAUAUCUCCUAAACCCCUUGAAGAAAUUUUAUCAAACUUAGGUCAAAUGAUCACCUCAUCAAGACGAUGUGCAGAACCCAUGAGUCAGUCAUGCCGGCUCAAGGUCAAGGUCACAACUUAGGGUCAAAUGUUUGAGCCUUCCAUUUUGUGUCCGCUCUAUAUCUCCUAAACUCCUUGAAGGAUUUUCAUCAAACUUGGGUCAAACGAUCACCUCAUCAAGGCGAUAUGCAGAACUUAUGAGUCAGCCAUGUUGGUUCAAGGUCAAGGUCACAACUGAAGGUCAAAGGUUUGAGCCUUCCAUUUCGUGUCCGCUAAACCCCUUGAAGGAAUUCUAUAAAACUUGGGUAAAAUGAUUACCUCAUCAAAAAGAUUUGCAGAAAUUAUGAGUCAACCAUGCCAGCUCAAGGUCAAGGUCACAACUAAGGGUCGAAGGCUUGAGCCUUCCAUUUUGUGUCCACUCUGUAUCUCCUAAACCCCUUGAAGGAUUUUCAUCAAACUUGGGUCAAAUGAUCACCUCAUCAAGAACUCGUGAGUCAGCCAUGUCAACUCAAGGUCAAGGUCACAACUGAAGGUCAAAUGUUUCAGCUCUGUAUCUCCUAAACCCCUUGAAGGAUUUUCAUGAAACUUGGGUCAAAUGAUCACCUCAUCAAGACGUUGUGCAUAAUUCACGAGUCAGCCAUGUCAGUUCAAGGUCAAGGUCACAGCUGAAAUCAAAGGUUUACCCUUUCACUAUCCAUAGCAGUGGCGGGGGAUUUAGCUGUCCUUCAGACUGCCUUGUUUCAAAUUAAAAUGGGUGUAUCUCAGUAACCAAUGAAGAUACUGAUUUGAAAUGUCAUUUGUGUCAUCAGAUGAACUCGGACAAUCAGGGUUGAUAACUUUUGACUGAAUUUAUGCCAAAUUACCUCCCUUUAUUUUAUAUAAACGAAUAUAUAUCAGCAGCAUCAUAUGAGAUUGGUUUUAAAUAUUACUUAAGUCUUCUAGGAUAAGGAAUAGUCAUGUUAGUAUAAAAAUCUAGCAUUUGAGCCUAGGACCCUCAAACUUGGUAUGGAAAUUGGCCCUGACAAGGUAAAAAGGGACUGUUACAUGAAAAUGUUUAUCCUGAUCAUAUUUAAUGUGUAUGCCUAUGUGCUCUAUGUCAAAACUUGAUCAUAUCAUUUUGAGCAAUGGUACUCAGGUGAGCGAUACAGGGUCAUCAUGACCCUCUUGUUUAAGGAAGAUAUUUGUUUGCUAUGUGAAUUAUAGCAGUUGCCUUGUGUAUAUACAGUUGAUAGAAUAUGGUAAAUAUAUUGUCUGAAGCUUUAGCUAUUUUGUUUUAUAUAUGAACUUUUUUUGAGUUUUACUAGUUAUGUUUAUUGUUUGUUUAUGAAAAGAGUAUAUAUUAAUAGUAUAAAAAUGUUGUUUUGAUCUAAACUUUGGUAUUAGUAUUUGCACAUCUGAGAGCAUAAAUUGCUUAAAGUCAGCUAUUGCGAUCGUCCAUUCUCGUCUGGUGUCAACAACUUUUAAAGGUCAGAAUGUUAACCUUGAUGAAAUCUCGGACAAGAUUUCCACUAUUUCAAAUAAAUCAUAAAAAUAUGUAGAAUUAAUUGGAAACAUAAUUAAAUUUCCAGAUGCUCCAUUUUCUAUUUUUCUUUCAUAAAACGUUUCCAAAUUUGGUAUAACAAGAAAAGGGGACUUUGGACUAUGUACAAAACAUAAGCUUACAAAUAUUAGAUUUCAUGUAAGUCUAUUUGUAUAGGACGAUGUGUAUAUAUAUUUGAUAGACUAUGGUAGGUGUAUGGUAUGUUUGCCUUAUGUAAUUUGUAUUAUAUUUGAAUUGUUUUGAGUUUUUCCAGUAAUGUUUAUGUUGAUUGCUUGUAAACAGAAGACAUGAUAGUUUAAUGCUGUUUUGAUCGUAACCUUGUUACAAUGACACGUUACAAGGUUAUAACACACUAAACAGCCAGCACUAUAUAUUCUAUAUAAAAUGACAUGUUUUCACAAUGUUGCAAUACACACCUAGACCCAUUUUAAAUUUUUUUAACUUACAUUUUCUUGUAGAGCAACAUUUAUACUGUAAAAAUAUCCAAAGAAAAGUAGGGGUCAUAUUUGAUGCAAGAAAAAUAUUUCUGGUCAAACGAACACACCGUAAUUUUUACACUGAAAUGACAAUCACAAUUUAGGGUAGGGGUGUAUGAAUAAAUUUCACAUGUUAAAUCAGUUUGGAGUCAUUUUUCAACAUGCAAAUGCUAUCAGUAUGUCAAGUAUAGGCAUGCAAUAUGAUUUCAACCAAUAUAUGGCAAUGAUUUCAAGGAGAAAUCAUUCUUACAGCAAAAAGAACUGAGAACUAUUUGAAUCCGCCAUUAUGCGAUUAUACCAUUUUUUCAUAGGUGCUCAGGCUAUUUAGUGUCUGUAUACCCAUAAUGACACGUUAUUUGCUCACUUGAGAGCACAAAAUGUGAUCGUCCAGCACCCGUCGUUAUCAGUCUCCAUGAAUUUUGACUAAAUUUCAACGAAACUUGAUCAGGGCCCAGUUGUUCGAAACUUUAACAGCCUGUUAAACUAAUCUCAUGUUAAAUAUUGAUUGAUGUUUUAAUUUUACUGUAAAGACAUUUAUUGUUUAUAAACCUUAAGUCCUACUUUGCUAAGUUUUCUAAAGUGUAAAAAUAUUAAUCUAAAAGUUAAUCGGCUGUUAGCUUAAUCAACUGUUAAAGUUUCGAACAACCGGCUCCAGAAUGAUAGCCUUAAGAAAUCUCGGACAAGAUUUUUAAUCCCCCGCCGUGACGGAGGGAUUAUAGGAACGGUCUGCGUCCGUCCUUGUCCUUCCUUCCUUCCGUCCGUCCGUCCGUAACAAAAUCGUGCCCGGUCCAUAUCUUUUGAACCCAUUAACAUAUUUCCAUUAUAUUAACAACAAAUGUUAAACUCACCAAGGCGAUGUGCAGAACCCAUAUUCCAACUGUGCUGGGUCAUGGUCAAGGUCACACUUGGGGAUCAAAGGUCAUGGGGUGAUAUUUCGUGUCCGUUCCAUAUUUUUUGAACCCCUUGACAUAUUUCCAUUAUAUUAACAACAAAUGUUAAACUCACCAAGGCGAUGUGCAGAACCCAUGUUCCAACUGCGUUGGGUCAUGGUCAAUGUCACACUUUGGGAUCAAAGGUCAUGGGGUGAUAUUUCGUGUCCGGUCCAUAUCUUUUGAACCCCUUUACAUAAUUCCAUUAUAUUAACACCAAAUGUUUAACUCGCCAAGGCGAUGUGCAGAACCCAUGUUCAAACUGCGCUAGGUCAUGGUCAAGGUCACACUUGGGGAUCAAAAGUCAUGGGAUGAUAUUUUGUGUCUGAUCUCUAACUUUUUAACACCUUGAAGGAUUUUGAAGAUACUUGACACAAAUGUUCAUCACAUCAAGAUAACUUGCAGUGCGCAUGUUUCGGAUGGCCCGCUUCAAGGUCAAGGUCAGAGGUGAAAGGUCAUAUGUGUGUAUUGCUCACCAUUGCCAUGGUCUUGGUUUUCAUUAAUUUUUGUUUUCCUUUCGCAGAUCUCUUUUCUGUUCACUUACAUUUCUUUUAAUUGAAUAUUUUCCCUUUAAUGAUACUAUAAAUAGCUUUUUUGCAACAUUUUUACUAUUGGUUGUAGGAAAAAAACGAGACCACUUUUAUGUGGUACAACAUGGAUGGUACUUCCAAUUGUUAGGUGUAAUUUGACAUAUCUGGAUUAUUAAUCCCCCGGGGGUUAUAGGAAUGGCCUCCUUCUGUCCUUCCGUCCGUCUGUCCGUAACACUUCGAGUCCGCUCCAUAUCUCCUAAACCCCUUGAAGGAUUUUCAUGAAACUUGGGUCAAAUGAUCACCUCAUCAAGAUGAUGUGCAGAACCCAUGAGUCAGCCUUGUCGGUUCAAGGUCAAUGUCACAACUCAAGAUCAAAGGUUUGAGCCUUCCAUUGUCCGCUCUAUAUCUCCUAAACCCCUUGAAAGAAUUUUUUAAAACUUGGGUAAAAUGAUUACCUCAUCAAAACGAUGUGCAGAAAUUAUGAGUCAACCAUGCCAGCUCAAGGUCAAAGUCACAACUAAGGGUCGAAGGUUUGAGCCUUCCAUUUUGUGUCCACUCUGUAUCUCCUUAACCCCUUGAAGGAUUUUCAUGAAACUUGGGUCAAAUGAUCACCUCAUCAAGACGUUGUGCAGAAUUUAUGAGUCAGCCAUGUCAGUUCAAGGUCAAGGUCACAGCUAAAAUCAAAGGUUUACCCUUUCACUAUCCAUAGCAGUGGCGGGGAAUUAAGCUGUCUUUCAGACUGCCUUGUUACUUUAUAAUAUGAGCAAUAGCUGUUCCACGUCAUCACUGACCUGACACCAUGACACAAGGGCCAUAACUCUUGCACGAAUAUUUCAUGAAUUAUCUCCCCAUUUAAGUUACUAAUAUAAUAGAAUUAAAGGUUGUUAUGUUGUUUGUAUGUUAAUUUCAACCGCUGGGAUUUCUUAAAUCAUUUAAGGUAGUGAAAGAAUUUUCAAAAUCAAAUUAAAAAUUGAGAAAGCGGCAUUUAAAUAUUUGACCAAAAUGGCAUCAAAAAGCAUGUCCGAUCUCUAAGAAACUUGCAAACAAUGUUUGUGAGCAUAAUAUCACAGCCAAGUUCGAAAAACUACCAAUUUAGCCUUGUGCGCUUUCUGAGUCGAAGAGUUUUCAUCCGAUCUUCACCAAAUUGUUGACAAAGUGUGUGGGCAUGAUGUCUUGGCCAAGUUCGAUAACAACCAAAAGCGCUGUAGGCACUGUUGGAUUAUCAUGGCUCUUGAUUAAUUAGAAAAAAAAACUGCGACUUAAGCCAUGUCCGCCCUCUAAGUCAGUUUACACCCGAUCUUCACAAAACUUAACGACAAUGUUUUUUCGGCAUAAUAUCUUGGCUAAGUUAGACUUUAAACCACCCUAAUCCAUCCUGACACUCUUGGAUUAUGGCCCUUGAAUUUACGUAAUUGAAUAUUUAGUCGGGCGUAAUUUGUGUCAGUCUGGCACUUUUUCUUUGGCGUAAAAUGUUCACCUCUAUGAGACGGAAAUCUCGGGUUCCGAACUCAAAGGUAUUAUAGAGCUUGUCCAGGCUGUAACUUUGCCAUGCAUACUUAAGCAAUCCUUUUAUACGCUCUUUUAAAUAACGUUACGUAUUAUGGAAACGCUCCUGGCGGGCGGGCGAGCGGCGUCCACAAACUUUGACUGGAGCAUUUCUUCUUCAUGCAUGGAGGAAUUUUUAUGUUACUUGGUACAAAUGUUCACCAACAUGAGACGUAGUGUCAUGCAUAAGAACCUGGUCCCUAGGUCUAUGGUCAAGGUCUGACUUAGACGUCAAAGGUCAAAUUCAAUAAUGACUUUGUUUUUAAAAUAAAAAAUAAAAUAAAAAAGAUCUCAGAUCAAAUUGACACUUAUAGGUCUUAAUGAUACAAGAAUGACGACUUUGACCGAAGCAUUUCUUCUUUAUACAUGGAGGGACUUUUAAUGUUACAUGGCACACAUUUUCACCAACAUGAGACGAAGUGUAAUGCAUAUUCUAAUAUGUCUAACAAUGCUUUAAUCAUCACAACGAUGUUAUGUUGACGUAACAUCAACGUGAUAUUUAGCGCCAUGUACGCAUCAAGAAAUAUCACUUUCAAAUUUCAUGAAAUAUUUUACUUAAUAACUUGUUUUAAACGAAAUGUCACAUUGCGCAAAUGUUUUGAUUAAUUUAUACACAUACUAAAUUAGUUAUUCGAUAUGCUGAAUAAUUCGUAAUAAUUUUCGCUUGAACUGAAUUCUGCCGCAAGACGUAUUACCGUUUCCGGUCUUGGCGUGUUUUACCAAAUACCUACUAUUGGCGCCAUGCUUGCGCGAAGAAACAGUUCCAUCAUAUUUGAUAUAAACUUUACAAUAAAGAACAUAUUAGAAUCGAAAUAAUUUAUAGCAAAACAGUACUUUAUCACUAUUUAUACACUCGGGCGGUUAUACGUCGUCCGAAAUAAUUUCACUCUGGCUGCGCCCUCGUGAAAUUAUUACGCCCGACGUAUAACCGCCCAUCGUGUAUAAAUAGUGAUAAAGCACUGUUUUGCUAUAAAAAAUUUUCUUAAAUAAGCAGGUCCCUUGGUCUAAGAUCAAGAUUUCACUUAAAGGUCAAAUUCAACAAUAACUUUGUCCGGAGCAUUUCUUCUUUAUCCAUGAAGGGAUUUUGAUGUUACAAGGCACAAAUGUUCACCAACAUGAGACGAAGUGUCAUGCAUAAAAAGCAGGUCCCUAGGUCUAAGGUCAAGGUCUCACUUAGAGGUCAAAGGUCAAAUUCAGUAAUGACUUUUGUCCGGAGCAUUUCUUUUUCAUGCAUGGAGGGAUUUUGAUGUUACUUUGCACAAUUGUUCACAAUUAUGUGACGGAAUGUCAUGCGUAGAAACCAGGUCUGUAGGUCAUAGGUCAAAAUUACACUUAUAGGUCAUAGAAUACAAGAAUGACUACUUUGUCCGGAGCAUUUCUUCUUUAUACAUGGAGGCAUUUUGAUGUUACAUGGCGCAAAUAUUCACUAACAUGAGACGGAGUGUCAUGCAUAAGAAGUUGGUCCUUAGGUCGAGGUCGCAAGUAGAGGUCAAAGGUCUGUUUCAGUAAUGACUUUGUCCGGAGCAUUUCUUCUUCAUGCAUGGAGGGACUUUGAUGCUACUUUGCACAAUUGUCACAAUUAUGAGAUGGAAUGUCAUGCACAUAAACCAGGUCCCCAGGUCUAAGGUCAAAGUAACGCCAAGUC
This is a long non-coding RNA of Mercenaria mercenaria, 8206 nucleotides long. RefSeq lists it as uncharacterized. The record is from RefSeq and is a predicted model, not a curated record. NCBI's taxonomy places the organism in Eukaryota, Metazoa, Mollusca, Bivalvia, Venerida, Veneridae. The transcript is spliced from 2 exons.